RNAcentral lists this ribosomal RNA (497 nucleotides) under uncultured bacterium. RNAcentral describes it as "partial 16S ribosomal RNA". It matches the Rfam family "Bacterial small subunit ribosomal RNA", at positions 28 to 507 of the family's 1533-position model. The record is from RNAcentral.
GACGAACGCUGGCGGCGUGCCUAAUACAUGCAAGUUGAGCGAUGAAGAUUGGUGCUUGCACCAAUUUGAAGAGCAGCGAACGGGUGAGUAACGCGUGGGGAAUCUGCCUUUGAGCGGGGGACAACAUUUGGAAACGAAUGCUAAUACCGCAUAACAACUUUAAACAUAAGUUUUAAGUUUGAAAGAUGCAAUUGCAUCACUCAAAGAUGAUCCCGCGUUGUAUUAGCUAGUUGGUGAGGUAAAGGCUCACCAAGGCGAUGAUACAUAGCCGACCUGAGAGGGUGAUCGGCCACAUUGGGACUGAGACACGGCCCAAACUCCUACGGGAGGAAGCAGUAGGGAAUCUUCGGCAAUGGACGAAAGUCUGACCGAGCAACGCCGCGUGAGUGAAGAAGGUUGUCGGAUCGUAAAACUCUGUUGGUAGAGAAGAACGUUGGUGAGAGUGGAAAGCUCAUCAAGUGACGGUAACUACCCAGAAAGGGACGGCUAACUACGUG